Molecule: ribosomal RNA, 340 nt
Filed under: Drosophila malagassya
Lineage: Eukaryota; Metazoa; Arthropoda; Insecta; Diptera; Drosophilidae
Description: 28S ribosomal RNA, D2 domain
Source: RNAcentral
CCCGAAGUAUCCUGAAUCUUUCGCAUUGUUAAUCGUACAAGUGCAUAUAAUAAACACAAAAAUCAAUGAUAAUUAUGCCAUUAUAUAAUUCCGAAAAAUUAACGCACUGUAGUCAUAUAAAUCUAUCAGCACUUUAUCAAAUUAAUGACAUUUAUUCUAUGUUAAAAUGCAAGCAUAAUAAUUUGAAUAAACUAUAAGCCAUAUUUUAUGAUAAAUUUUGUUAUGCUAAUAGAUUACAAUGUCCUUAUAUGGAAAAAAUGCACACUAUUAUCAUAAUAUUGUUUAAACAUUACAAUUCUAAUGAUGAAUUUUCCAUAACGGAUAUUCAGGUUCAUCGGGC